This 681-nucleotide ribosomal RNA is filed under the name Triticum aestivum (bread wheat). RNAcentral's name for it is "partial small subunit ribosomal RNA". The record is from RNAcentral. Lineage: Eukaryota; Viridiplantae; Streptophyta; Magnoliopsida; Poales; Poaceae.
GAAGGUCAGAAUUGUGGGUUUGUUCAGUGGGUUGAUGAGCAGUGGCCCCCAACAAUGGAGAAUGCAUUGCUGAAGCUUUGGUCAAUGGUUGAAGAGAGCAAGUCUGCUAGGGUGGAUGAUAAUCUUCAAAGUUCUUUAACUAUUCACCAUUUGACAGAAGAAAAUAAGAAGCUGGAUGCACAAUAUGACAAGUUAGUGAAAGAUGUGCAUCAACUUGUGGACUUUCAGCAGGAUAGGGUUGUGGAUUUCAGUUAUCUGCAGUCAGCUGUCACAUAUCAGCACCAAUGCAGAGCUGAAUUGGUGGCUGGUAUGAAUGCAAAAAUGGCAAAGAAAGAUGCAGCUCUAGAGAAGCUUCAACAGAAGUUUGAAAUCCUGUGCAACCUGACAAGUGCUCAAGCAACUGCCAUCCAAAACCUCAAGUUGAAGAAUAUGAAAGAGAAGCAAUUGAGGAUUGAGGCUCAAGAGAAUUUGGAGCUAAAGAAUGCAGAGUUCACAAAGUUUGAGGAGAAGCUCACCCAAGAGAAGCUAGAGUUGAAGUUCCAGGUUGCUGAUCUGCUGAAGCUUAAGGAAAACCAUAAAGAAGAGAAGCAGAUGCAAGAGUUUAAGAUUACUGAGCUCAUGAAGGCAGAGGAGAAGCUGAAGGAGAAGAUCAAGGGGAUCCAGGCCAUCUUGGAGAACUGA